Molecule: ribosomal RNA, 1350 nt
Filed under: Triticum aestivum (bread wheat)
Lineage: Eukaryota; Viridiplantae; Streptophyta; Magnoliopsida; Poales; Poaceae
Description: partial small subunit ribosomal RNA
Source: RNAcentral
AUGGAUGGACAACAGUUUCAGCAUAGCAGAAGUGAAAGCUCAAAUGUCUUUGUUAGUGAAUACUGCCCAGCUCCAAGUUUUGAUAUUUUCAAAUACGAUUUUCCUACAGCACAUGUAGAUGAUGGAGCAGAUCGAGAUGCCAGAGAAAAUGCAUUGGCUGACCAUGAGUCAUCGCAGUGCCAAGUAACCAAGGAGCCAGUCAUUGAAAUUAUUGAAGAUGAAAAAGUUGGUAAUCUCGAAGGCAUAGAUGAAGGGUAUGCACAUGCAGAAGAACAGGCUAUGAAGUGUGAGCAUGAGUCCCUGCAGUAUCAAGUACCCAAGGAGCCACUCAUUGAAAUAAUUGAUGACGAUCAUGUUGUGGAUCUUGAAGGCAUAGUUGGGAACAUUUACCAGACACCUGAAAAAGUUACCCACAACCAAGUAGUAGUGGGAUCAGGCAGUAAUAUUUAUAGCAGCAGCAGCUCAGGAAAGAUGGUCCCACAACAAUUUGAGAGAAGGAUUAUCAAGCCACCUCCUUGCAAGAGGUCACCAUUCUUGGACUAUAAUGAGAGGAAAGUGUACAUAUGCAAACCUGAAGUAAGCAGGCUGUAUGCAUCGGUUAUUCUGCACGGGAGAUUGAAUGAAGAAGAAUCACCAGAUGUAGAUACUAGCCCGAAGGUAAUUGACUACAAUGGAUAUGAUGUGUCGGUGAGGGAGCUUGCAAACUCUAUGAAAAAGGAAGGAUAUGUCUUGACACAUGUAAUGGAAAUUGGCAUACUGUCCAUAAUGAUGAAUUUGCAUGCAGACUCCAAGAAGGUUGUCAUGCCCCUGAGGUUCUCGACAAGGAUGCUGCAGAUGACUUUCCUCUCCAAUGAUAUCAACAACCAAGAGAUUAUUUCCCGAUUCAAGAAAUCAAAUCACCUGGACCGGAAAGACAUGAUAAUGUUUAUUGUGUUAGAGAAUAUCGACAAGUCAAAGAAGGUUUCAGGCAACCAUUAUUGGGUCUUCAACGUGAAUAUAAGGGAUCGAAGGUUCGAGGUGCUUGAUUCAUGGAGGACACUUCAGGACAAGACUCUAGAUGUCUGCGCAAGGACUAUGGUUGCUAGUUUUCGGGCUCUGUGGGAAGAGCACUAUCCGAAGUCUCAUAUCUCAUUAGAUGACUUCACACUAAGAAACAUUGAUGUGCCAAAACAAACUAACAAAUAUGACUGCGGCAUUUUUGCUCUCUCAAUUGCAAAUGGGUGGGAAGGAAGGAACGUUCCAAGUUUUACAGCAGAGGAUGUUCAAAGUAUCAGGAAGCAGUUGACAAACACGUGGGUUAACACCAAGCGCAACAAGGCUCCAUGGGAAGCUGUAUUGAAGUUAGCUUAG